This is a long non-coding RNA of Equus caballus (horse), 1981 nucleotides long. RefSeq lists it as uncharacterized. Lineage: Eukaryota; Metazoa; Chordata; Mammalia; Perissodactyla; Equidae. The record is from RefSeq and is a predicted model, not a curated record.
CUGUGGUGAUCUGACCAAUGUCCCGCUCCCAGGUGUCCAGUCUGACCACUAGCCUCAUCACAUUUUCAUUAUGACCCAGAUUUUUGCAUCACAGCUUAUUAUCAUUACUGUAGUUAUUAACAUCAUAAAGAUGAAAGGUUAACAUUGGCUAAGUGCCUACUGUGUACAGGUACAGUGUAAUGUGCUUUAUCCAUGCUCUUAUUUGUACUUCAAGCAACCUUGUUAAGUGGUAAUCUUCAAAGGAUGGCCUUCUAAAUUGGAAAGUUGUUUUCAUCAGUCAAUUUUCAGGAUCCGCUUGGAGUCACAAGGACAGAAGAGAUGCCUGCCUUGUUAAUCUGAACAGCAAGAUCAACUCUAUCAUAAUGCGUUGACAGAUGUCCCUUCUAGAUUUGUCUCACAUCUAAGAGGCCAGAAUUAUUCCCCAUUUUAUAGAAGAGAAAAAUAAGUGUUAAAGUACUAAACUAAACUUGCUCAUAUUAAAAAAUCUAGUUAGUGACAGAGCUGGGAUUUUUGCCCAGGUCUGCCUGACAACAGUUUGUGCUUAUUUCCUCUGGGAUAUGUUUACUUCCUAACUUUUAGUAAGCAACGUAUUAGUUUUGCAUAUAACCAACUAACUACUUAACUAACUGGACAAGCAUGCAUUCCUAAACCGUUAAGUAUAGUGAAGUCUGCCUGUGGGAAACUUUGGAGGUCUGCCUUUGGUUGUGAAUUCUGAAAAUACCACCUGUAACUUAAAUAUUUGCACAUGUAGAAAGUGAGUCAUGACUGUGGGAAAAUUCUCCCUCAUUUAUUGUUUGGAUUUUAUCAACUUAGUAUGAAAACUCUUCUGGCUUCCUCAAGGCCUCAUCCAUCCGCACCCUGGAGAACCUGAAGUUCUUCCUCUACAGAUAGAGGGAUGAAGUGGCUGAGAGCCUGGAGAGGAACUUGGGAUCCUACAGAGAAGUGAGAGUUUGGAAGAAUAGAGGACAGAAAAGACAGACUUGACCAGCUAAACAGUAUGGCCUAAACAAAGUUAUCAACAGACUGGUGGAUUCCUGUAAGUAAUUAAAGAAUAAUGUUCAAGAAUAGGAAAAGUGGAAUCCAUAUAAUGACUGUUUCUGUGCCAAAUAGACUACUGAUGACAAAAUCAGUCUAGGAUGGCAGGUCUCUGCCAGAUCAGAGGUUUGAACAUUUCUUGUAAACCACAAAAAUGUCUCCCUGUAAUGACGGGAUUGCAAACAGUGGUCCCUAUGCCAGUCUCCACAUUUUUUCAUACUUCUGUCUCAGGCUUCUCUUGACUAAAAAUCCAAGCCCUGUUGACGCUCAGAAGUCUAUUAGUUUUAAGUAUUUAAAGAGUCCAGCUGAAUCAACAGGUCAGUGAAUGGACUCUGAGUGAGGAUGGAAGCCCAGGAAUUUCCUCAUAACCAGCAGUCACUUGAACUCCUCAGUAAAACGUGCCAUUGCUGUGAUCUCUGAAGGUACCUAGUUGAGCACAAUUGUAUUGGAUGAGAGAACAAUGCCCUACAAAUAGAAUAUCCAACUGAUGUCUUAAAGAUGUGCCAAGAAGGCUGUCUCACCAUCACGGAAAAACGUGAGCUCCGUCUUCUUUUACCCACUGGUACUAUGUCAGGACACAAUGAGAAAUCCAUUAGGCACAUGAAGAAAUAAUAAAAUGUGCCAUAUGCCACACACGCCAGCGCUGUGGAAGCACAUUGCUAUGAUUGGGAGACUUCCAAAUUCAAAUUAUAUUUGUCUUGAAAGUUAAGUAGGUAAUAUUUGAGUUGAGUCUUAAAGGAAGAAUAGGAUUCCAUCAGUGGAGAAGGGAUCAAUAUAAACAAAGGCAUGGAAAUCAAAUAUUGUAUUCAGAUGAUAGCAAAUAAUUGAGUAUAAUUGAAUACCUGGGUGAGGGCAGGCGAAGUCAGGAAGUAAAAGAUGAGGCUACAAAUGGAGGUUGAAAAUUGAAUGCCUUACUUUGCAUGGUGAUAGUUUAUUACAUAUAGUA